CAGAGGGGGCAAGCGUUGUUCGGAAUUACUGGGCGUAAAGGGCGCGUAGGCGGCCUGCUAAGUCGAACGUGAAAUCCCUGGGCUCAACCCAGGAACUGCGUCCGAUACUGGCAGGCUUGAAUCCGGGAGAGGGAUGCGGAAUUCCAGGUGUAGCGGUGAAAUGCGUAGAUAUCUGGAGGAACACCGGUGGCGAAGGCGGCAUCCUGGACCGGUAUUGACGCUGAGGCGCGAAAGCCAGGGGAGCAAACGGGAUUAGAUACCCCGGUAGUCCUGGCCCUAAACGAUGAAUGCUUGGUGUGGCGGGUAUCGAUCCCUGCCGUGCCGAAGCUAACGCAUUAAGCAUUCCGCCUGGGGAGUACGGUCGCAAGGCUG
This 372-nucleotide ribosomal RNA is filed under the name uncultured organism. Its description in RNAcentral is "bacterial SSU rRNA". It matches the Rfam family "Bacterial small subunit ribosomal RNA", at positions 526 to 896 of the family's 1533-position model. The record is from RNAcentral.